GACGAACGCUGGCGGCGUGCUUAACACAUGCAAGUCGAACGGAAAGGCCCUGCUCUUGUGGGGUGCUCGAGUGGCGAACGGGUGAGUAACACGUGAGUAACCUGCCCUUGACUUUGGGAUAACUUCAGGAAACUGGGGCUAAUACCGGAUAGGAGCUCCUGCUGCAUGGUGGGGGUUGGAAAGUUUCGGCGGUUGGGGAUGGACUCGCGGCUUAUCAGCUUGUUGGUGGGGUAGUGGCUUACCAAGGCUUUGACGGGUAGCCGGCCUGUGCGCGUGACCGGCCACGUUGGGACUGGGAUACGGCCCAGACUCCUACGGGAGGCAGAAGUGGGGAAUAUUGCACAAUGGGAGGAAGCCUGAUGCAGCAACGCCGCGUGCGGGAUGACGGCCUUCGGGUUGUAAACCGCUUUCGCCUGUGACGAAGCGUGAGUGACGGUAAUGGGUAAAGAAGCACCGGCUAACUACGUG
RNAcentral lists this ribosomal RNA (468 nucleotides) under uncultured bacterium. RNAcentral describes it as "partial 16S ribosomal RNA". It matches the Rfam family "Bacterial small subunit ribosomal RNA", at positions 28 to 507 of the family's 1533-position model. The record is from RNAcentral.